GGGCCACUAGCUCAAUUGGCAGAGCAUCUGACUCUUAAUCAGAGGGUUGAAGGUUCAAGUCCUUCGUGGCCCA
This 73-nucleotide transfer RNA is filed under the name Candidatus Omnitrophica bacterium 4484_70.1. Its description in RNAcentral is "tRNA-Lys". It matches the Rfam family "tRNA". Rfam says of the family: Transfer RNA (tRNA) molecules are approximately 80 nucleotides in length. The record is from RNAcentral. RNAcentral also lists the same sequence under 1 other name. Lineage: Bacteria; Pseudomonadati; Candidatus Omnitrophota.